UAGGGUUCAGGCAUUAGUUGUCACCAGU
RNAcentral lists this small RNA (28 nucleotides) under Bombyx mori (domestic silkworm). Its description in RNAcentral is "ovarian small RNA-22727". The record is from RNAcentral. Lineage: Eukaryota; Metazoa; Arthropoda; Insecta; Lepidoptera; Bombycidae.